RNAcentral lists this long non-coding RNA (395 nucleotides) under Lathyrus oleraceus (garden pea). RNAcentral describes it as "Pisum sativum (pea) long non-coding RNA (PSAT_LNC026312)". Lineage: Eukaryota; Viridiplantae; Streptophyta; Magnoliopsida; Fabales; Fabaceae. The record is from RNAcentral.
UUUUAGGAGAUUGGUGUAAAUCCAUUUAUUGGUAUCCGGUAUCCGCCUUUGUGUGAGAUUGGAGUAAGACCAUUGAUGGCAUCCGGUAUCACCUUGUCUUUUAUUUUACUAACUUGCUUUGUCCCUUAUUCCAAAGGACACACUUGAAUCAUUUUCUAUAUGAUUUCAAGAGGUAAACCUCUAGGAAGUUUUACACUACACCUUUCAUCCACCUUUGUUUCAAAAUCCUUUUCACAUUGUUGACUUUUCAAACUUAUAUCUACAUGUUGUGCAAACAUUCUCACUUCUUUCCAAAUUAGAAACUUGGACUUUAAGUCCAUGAUUUUCCAAACUUCAUUUUUGUAAAUACUUCAUUUUGAAUUGACUUUAAUCAUACUUUGACCUUUUUGUAAAUA